Ceratina calcarata is the source of this 2017-nucleotide long non-coding RNA. RefSeq lists it as uncharacterized. NCBI's taxonomy places the organism in Eukaryota, Metazoa, Arthropoda, Insecta, Hymenoptera, Apidae. The transcript has 2 exons. The record is from RefSeq and is a predicted model, not a curated record.
AGAGUGGUCAGAUCAAUUAGCAUCUUGCAAGUUGCAAGAUUGGACUUCAAUUUGUUCAUGAAAAAAGAACGUCAUAUUUAUCUAACGAAUAUGGAAAUCCUGCUAUGAUUCUUUGAAGAAAGUUCGUAAUAAUUGCUAUGAAGAUUAAUGCACACAGUUUAUUUCUGCUUUCUGUAAAAUAUCGAAUGAUUCGAAAUGACUAACACGCGUUAAACAGUCAUUAAAAUUUCAUUUCAAUAACUGGAAAUUAAAAAGUUGAUGCGUGUGUUGUGUUCAGGAUUCGUAAGGAAACUAGGCUCGGUUGAGUGUAACACUAUAUUUCCAAAAUACUGCACAACGUAGAGGAAUUCAGUACAAAUGCGGUUAGUAUCGAGUCCAGGCUGAAUCUGCUGUCUUAGGAUUCGGCGGAUGUAUAUAUAUAUCCUAGCUAUAGGAAGGGGAGGGUCACUUCUAACCCUGUGACUCAGGGUGGAUUUCGACCUUAGUGACUAAUCUUUAAAAUACGCUUCUUAAACUAGAGAUAACUAGGAGAAAAACAUUUUAGUCAUCCAACACGUGUAAUACGAAGUACCUUUACAAUCUACAUCACAAAAUAGACUAAAGACGAUAAUAAAUAUUAUACGAUGAUUCUUAUGAUACGCAAAGUUAUCGAGUUUUAAUAGAGGAGAAUCCGUUCGCUUCAGCGGUUUCAUGUAUGUGGUCAGUAAUCUCAAAUGCCCCAUAUUAAGCACUUAUACCUCUGAAAAUAAAUCACCGAUACUGAAACUACAGUACAGCCUCAUGUAAGAUUACAUGAAUGAGACCGCCUUCCGAGCCAAGUGGGUUCUUGAAAUCGUUGAAAAUUAGCAAGCGCAAUAUUUCAAAAGCACCCUGUAAGCGCGUAGCGCCAGUACUGUUCUUAAACUGGCAAUGAGCAGGUAAUGAAUCCCUUACUUCAGUCUUUAGGUAUAUUAUGGCAGGUAUUUGGUUGAUGUGCAAGAGAAUUUAGAAAGAAAACAGAUAAUGAUUGAUAAUUCGAGGUUGCACAGCCAUCGGCUAUCGAAAGAUUGAUUGUUUGGAAAAGCGAGAAAUUUACAAGAUCAUUAGGAAUCCAAAGCAUUGUCUAACGAAUAACUUAUUUUCCAAGAGGAUCCGGUCACAAAGUGAGGAAAACAAGGAUGUGUCUCGGAAGAAACUUAGAAAUUCAUAAUUGGUCUCAUCUUGAAGUUUUACUAACAUAUAUACAUUACAUAAGUGUAUUAUAUGUUACAUAAGCGUAUUAUAUUAUAUACUACAUACGUAUGUAUACUACAUACAUUAGUCUCUCAAAAUAAGUGUAUUAUGUAUCGCAAAAUGAAAAAAAAACAUGGCCCAUGAGGGGAUCGAACCCGCGACCUUCGCGUUAUUAGCACGACGCUCUAACCAACUGAGCUAAUGGGCCUUUGACGAGUUGGUCUUAUUUGCAAGUUUUCUGGCCGAUAUGUGAAUUAUGAUUUUUAAUAUUUUGUUACGUUUUUAUUAAAAAAGAAAUUUAAUAAAAUAGUUCGCAAUUUACUAAACAUUAAUGUCAGAAUAUAAUUAAAGGAAAGAAGAUUAAAAGAAAAACAACGCGUGGAUUUUUUAAAAAGAUGUUUGGUCAAAGAUUCACAGCUAAACAGGAUGUCUUUUAUGACAAUUAAUUUAGUCGCGAGAAUGUCUUCGACAACCUACAGUAUGUUUGGAUAUGAAACGUUGGGUGCCCGCACGUGGAGUUUCAAUUAAGCAUUUGACGGAAUAAACGUUUUUCAUUGCGAUAAAAGUUCUUCAAUUACUAAAGAACGUCGAGCGACUUAAUAUCGAAGAUCGUCGAGUCACUGCAUGAGAAACAAUUGGUUCGAAAUGCAUGAGUGUCAAGAUAAUAAAUAGUCCGAACUUUGUCUGCAGUUUGGACUUUGCGUAUGAGGGUUAAAUGAAGUUGAUUUAAUCCCGUAGCUGCAGUUUGUUAUCGAAAGAUAUCAAAGGUAGUUAUGAAGCCAAUAAAGAAAUUAGUUUGUCCUGA